Molecule: microRNA, 21 nt
Filed under: Echinococcus granulosus
Lineage: Eukaryota; Metazoa; Platyhelminthes; Cestoda; Cyclophyllidea; Taeniidae
Description: egr-miR-10265-3p
Source: miRBase by way of RNAcentral
UCUCAUGCCUUUGCCCACGAA